GAGGAAUAUUGGACAAUGGAUGGAAAUCUGAUCCAGCCAUGCCGCGUGCAGGAAGACGGCCCUAUGGGUUGUAAACUGCUUUUGUAUGGGAGCAAUAAGGACUACGUGUAGUUUGAUGAGAGUACCAUACGAAUAAGCAUCGGCUAACUCCGUGCCAGCAGCCGCGGUAAUACGGAGGAUGCGAGCGUUAUCCGGAUUUAUUGGGUUUAAAGGGUGCGUAGGCGGGCUUGUAAGUCAGUGGUGAAAUCUCUCAGCUUAACUGAGAAACUGUCAUUGAUACUGCAGGCCUAGAGUAUAGAUGACGUUGGCGGAAUAUGACAUGUAGUGGUGAAAUACUUAGAUAUGUCAUAGAACACCGAUUGCGAAGGCAGCUAACGAAACUAUAACUGACGCUGAGGCACGAAAGUGCGGGGAUCAAACA
This 421-nucleotide ribosomal RNA is filed under the name uncultured bacterium. RNAcentral's name for it is "bacterial SSU rRNA". It matches the Rfam family "Bacterial small subunit ribosomal RNA", at positions 356 to 774 of the family's 1533-position model. The record is from RNAcentral.